CCUACGGGAGGCAGCAGUAGGGAAUCUUCCACAAUGGGCGAAAGCCUGAUGGAGCAACGCCGCGUGAGCGAUGAAGGCCUUCGGGUUGUAAAACUCUGUCAUUCGGGACGAACCGGAGUCUGAGGAAAUGCAGACUCUCUGGCGGUACCGGAGGAGGAAGCCCCGGCUAACUACGUGCCAGCAGCCGCGGUAAUACGUAGGGGGCAAGCGUUGUCCGGAUUCACUGGGCGUAAAGCGCGCGCAGGCGGUGAUGUAAGUCUGAGGUGAAAACCCCGAAGCUCAACUUCGGGACUGCCUUGGAUACUGCGUCACUUGAGGAUAGGAGAGGCAAGGGGAAUUCCACGUGUAGCGGUGAAAUGCGUAGAGAUGUGGAGGAACACCUGUGGCGAAGGCGCCUUGCUGGCCUAUUUCUGACGCUGAGGCGCGAAAGCGUGGGGAGCAAACAGGAUUAGAUACCCUGGUAGUCCACGCUGUAAACGAUGAGUGCUAGGUGUAGGUGGGCUCAUACCCAUCUGUGCCGAAGCUAACGCAUUAAGCACUCCGCCUGGGGAGUACGGUCGCAAGACUGAAACUCAAAGGAUUGACGG
RNAcentral lists this ribosomal RNA (587 nucleotides) under uncultured bacterium. RNAcentral describes it as "bacterial SSU rRNA". It matches the Rfam family "Bacterial small subunit ribosomal RNA", at positions 338 to 916 of the family's 1533-position model. The record is from RNAcentral.